GGCAAGAUCUCGGCUUACUACAAGCUCCGCCUCCGGGGUUCACGCCAUUCUCCUGCCUCAGCCUCCAGAGUAGCUGAGACUACAGGCGCCCGACAGCACGCCCGGCUAAUUUUUGUCAUAUUUUUUAGUAGAGACGGGGUUUCACCAUGUUAGCCAGGAUGGUCUUGAUCUCCUGACCUCGUGAUCCGCCCACCUCGGCCUCCCAAAGUGCAGGGAUUACAGGCGUGAGCCACCGCGCCCAGCCAAAAUUUAAUUUUUAAUUAAACAAUUAAUAUAUGAAUAUUUUCCUUGGAAAAAAGGAAAAUAUAGAUGACACAAAAGUUCCUAUGAUUACCACUUCCAAUCUCACUCCCCUAAUUCUUUUCUGGAAGUGACCACAAUUCUUUUUUUUUUUUUUUGAGACAGAGUCUUGCUCUGGUGCCAGGCUGGAGUGCAGUGGUGCGAUCUCAGCUCACUGAAACCUCCGCCUCUUAGGUUCAAGCGAUUCUUGUGCCUCAGCCUCCCGAGUAGCUGGGAUUAAGGCACACGCCACCACACCCAGCUAAUUUUUGUAUUUUUAGUAGAGAUGGGGUUUCACCAUGUUGGCCAGGAUGGUUUCGAUCUCCUGACCUCGUGAUCCACCGGCCUCAGCUUCCCAAAGUGUUGGGAUUACAGGCGUGAGUCAACGUGCCUGGAUGUAACAGUUCUCAGUUUAGCAGUUAUCCUUCCAGUUCUUUUUCAAUUGAUCUGUGCUUUUUAACCCAUAAAAAUAGGAUAGAUAGUAGUAUCUGUCUCACAGGAAAAGAACAGAAGUGAAAUGCAAAGUGGGUAAUGUUUUCCUUUUUCUCGUUCCUAAGAGCUGAGACCUACUGCAGAAACACAGCUGUACAGUACAUUCAAGCUGAAGAAAAGAAAAUCUUUUUUAUUUCCAAGGGUGGAAUUAUCUGCCCUUGGUAUUAUCUAAUACCUUGUAUUUUAAAAUAUAAGUUUUUUGUUUUCCAAAAAACUCAACAGACAUCACACACAGAUUUUACAGUAGGUACAAGCUCUAGCCUGGCACACAACACAGCCAGCGUCUUGGACAGGGGUCUGCCAGAGGAGGGUAGCAAAAGCCAAAAGCCCAGAAAGUAUUCUGCUUCCUUUGUCCUCUUCCAUUUUAGCCAGGCAAGGAGCAUUCUGUGUCUUAUAUCUUCUUUUCCCUGUGGCGUUCAUUUCCAAUUGCAGAAAGGAGGUCAUAUGACCAGAUUCUUUCCUUAAACAGCUUUCCAGCUGAGUACAACAAAGACAAAACAAAGCAACCCUGCUCCUCCACAAUUCUGCUCUUCCAUCACUCUACAUGGCAGGAGAAACUCCCACAAUAGCUUUUUCCUACUGUCAGAGAGGAAGCAUAAACCAAGAUUUCCAAAGGCACCACUGGUUGGUUCCCAGGUGCCCUAGAGUAGGAUUUUUAUUUUAUUUUACUUUAUUAUUUUUUUUUUGAGAUGAGGUCUUAUUAUGUUGCCCAGGCUGGUCUUGAACUCCUGGUCUCAACAAAUCCUCCUGCCUCAGCCUCUGAGUAGCUGGGAUUAUAGGCACUCGCCUCCACACCUGGCUCUAGGAUUUUAUUUUAGCAUAAAACCAAAUUCCACUUUGCUAGCCAUGAUACAAGUUUCUUUUUGAGACGGAGUCUCAUUCUGUCGCCCAGGCUGGAGUGCAGUGGCAUGAUCUCGGCUCACUGCAACCUCUGCCUCCCGGGAUCGAGCAAUUCUCCUGCCUCAGCCUCCCGAAUAGCUGGGAUUACAGGCGCCCACCACCACGCUAGACUGAUUUUUGUAUAUUUUAGUAUAGACAGGGUUUCACCAUGUUGGUCAGGCUGGUCUCGAACUCCUGACCUCAAGUAAUUCACCUGCCUCAGCCUCCCAAAGUGCUGGGAUUACAGGCGUGAGCCACCCUGCCCGGCCCCUCUUUUUGUAUAUCUAAUUUAAUUCUAACAAAAACAUAUAAGGUUUUUAGUUUAGUUUUUGAGACAGGCUGUUGCCCAGGCUGGAGUGCAGUGGUGUAGAUAUGGCUCACUGCAGCCUUGACCUCCUGGGCUCAAGGGAUCCUCCUGCUUCAGCCUCUGGUACAGCUGGGACCACAGUGCGUGCCACCACACCUGGCUAAUUUUUAAGGUUUUUUUGUAGAGAUGGGGCCUUACUCUGUAGCCUAGGCUGGUCUCAAACUUCUGGGCUCAAGUGAUCCUCCCAUCUUGGCCUCCCAAAAUGCUGGGAUUGUGGGCAUAAGGCACCACGCCCAGCCCAGCCCAUAUAAGGUUUUUUUUGUUUGUUUGUUUGGUUUUUUUGUUUUUUUUUUUUUAAAGACAGAGUUUUGCUCUGUUGCCCAAGCUGGGGUGCAGUGGCACGAUCUCAGCUCACUACAACCUCUGCCUCCUGGGUUCAAGCGAUUCUCCUGCCUCAGCGUCUCGAGUAGCUGAGAUUACAGGUGUGCACCACCACGCCCAGCUAAUUUUUGUAUUUUUAGUAGAGACAGGUUUUCACCACAUUGGCCAGGCUGGUCCUGAACUCCUGACCUCAAGUGAUCCACCUGUCUUGGCCUCCCAAAGUGCUGGGAUUACAUGCUUGAGCCACUGCACCUGGCCCCAUAUAGAGUUUUUAUUGUCAUUAUUCCCAUAUUACAGAUGAAGGGACUAAGGCUCAAAGGGUAAAUAAGUCUGUUCUUAAAUAGUGACUUCCUGAGACACAGGAGAUGUUUAAGAACAGUACUGGUAGGUGGGAAGUGGCAUUUUGGAGCAGGAGUGAGAAGCAUGAAAAUGUAGCAAGAAUAGAAAAGGGUGGGAAAACAGCAAAUUAAGAGGAAGAAAAAUGCAGGUCCUAGCAAGAAUUGCUACUCACCACUGCCAGAGUCUGGGCCAUGUUCUAGGUGUGUAUUUAAACAAAUCUCCAUAGCAACCAUCUGGUUUCUGUUUUUCUAUGACAACACGGGCUUGCAUUUCUAAAUACAAGCACUGGUGAGGACAAGUGUGGGCUGGGGAAGGGAAGUGGGACCGCUGAGUCAAGGGGAAAUUGCGCAAAAAAGGCAAAGGUUCUCUUGGUAUGCCCUCAUCUAUCCCCUCCCAGCACACCCUCAAGGAAGGGGUCUUUCCUUGACUCACAGCAGUCAUUGUUAAGAGCUGAGCCUUGUAUGCACUUUGUCUUUUGUUUUGGAGACAGAGUCUGGCUCUGUCACCCAGGCUGGAGUGCGGUGGUGUAAUCUUUGCUUACUUAAACCUCUUCCUCCGAAGUUCAAGCAAUUCUCUUGCCUCAGCCUCCCGAGUAGCUGGGACUACAGGCGCCUGCCACCACUCAGUUAAUUUUUAAUUUUUUUGUAGAGACAAGGUCUCACUACAUCGCCCAGCCUGGUCUCAAACUCCUGGGCUGAAGAAUUCCUCGUGCCUCGGCCUCUCAAAAUGCUGGCAUUACAGGUGUGAGCCACUGUGGCCAGCCCAUGAUAUCUUAUUUUUACCAAUUAUGUAAAUUCCUAUCUAAUUAGGGUAUACCCUUGGUGCAAGAGGGGGAAGGGUAGAUGCUUUUGCUUCUCAUUUUCAACCCAGGUGGCACUUUUGGAGAUACUGAGGGUAGAGAGAGGUUGGAGGAUCUCAUCUGAUAAAGGUGUGGUAGCCCCAGAAAGAAAGGUGAGAAAAAGGCAGCUAGGCAUGGAGAUGCAGGAAUAAGAAUAGAUACUGCCAUGAGGACUAAGUGGGCCCAGACCUGAGUUAAAACAGCCCCCCAUCCCCGCUUUUUUUUUUUUUUUUUUUGAAAUGGAGCCUCUCUCUGUCACGCAGGCUGGAGUGCAGUGGCGCGAUCUCGGCUCACUGCAAGCUCCACCUCCCGGGGUUCAUGCCAUUCUCCUGCCUCAGCCUCCCGAGUAGCUGGGACUACAGACGCAUGCCACCAUGCCCAGCUAAUUUUUGUAUUUUUAGUAGAGAUGGGGUUUCACUGUGUUAACCAGGAUGGUCUCGAUCUCCUGACCUCGCCAUCCGCCCGCCUUGGCCUCCCAAAGUGCUGAGAUUACAGACGCGAGCCAUCACGCCCAGCUGGAACCAUGUUUUACGCACUUUUGUAGUCCCUGAAGUAAGGCCUUUACAAGCCUUAUCUUGCUUAAUCAUCACAACCACCCUCAUGGUAGGUACCAUGUCGUUACUAUUAUGCAAGUAAGUAAAUUGAGGCAGAGAGUUAAAGAAAC
RNAcentral lists this long non-coding RNA (4179 nucleotides) under Homo sapiens (human). RNAcentral's name for it is "HSALNT0295698". The record is from RNAcentral. Lineage: Eukaryota; Metazoa; Chordata; Mammalia; Primates; Hominidae.